GGGACAUUUUAUGCUCUGUAAUUGGAAUGAUGGGAAUGUAAAACCCUUCCAGAGUAACAAUUGGAGGGCAAGUCUGGUGCCAGCAGCCGCGGUAAUUCCAGCUCCAAUAGUGUAUAUAGAGUUGUUGCAGUUAAAAAGCUCGUAGUUGGAUUUCUGCUGUGGUCAUCCGGUACCGCCCGUAUGGGUGCGCACCUGGUUUGGCUGCGGCUUUCUUCCUGUAGCCGUCCGCGCUUAAUUGCGUGUGCUGCGUUACGGAACUUUUACUUUGAGAAAAAUAGAGUGUUUCAAGCAGGCUUGUCGCCCUGAAUACUUCAGCAUGGAAUAAUAGGAUAGGACCUUGGUUCUAUUUUGUUGGUUUCUAGGACCAAGGUAAUGAUUAAUAGGGACAGUGGG
Molecule: ribosomal RNA, 393 nt
Filed under: Eimeria arloingi
Lineage: Eukaryota; Apicomplexa; Conoidasida; Eucoccidiorida; Eimeriidae
Description: SSU rRNA
Rfam family: Eukaryotic small subunit ribosomal RNA
Source: RNAcentral